AGUGAACGCUGGCGGUAGGCCUAACACAUGCAAGUCGAACGGCAGCACAGUAAGAGCUUGCUCUUACGGGUGGCGAGUGGCGGACGGGUGAGGAAUACAUCGGAAUCUACUUUUUCGUGGGGGAUAACGUAGGGAAACUUACGCUAAUACCGCAUACGACCUACGGGUGAAAGCAGGGGAUCUUCGGACCUUGCGCGAUUGAAUGAGCCGAUGUCGGAUUAGCUAGUUGGCGGGGUAAAGGCCCACCAAGGCGACGAUCCGUAGCUGGUCUGAGAGGAUGAUCGGCCACACUGGAACUGAGACACGGUCCAGACUCCUACGGGAGGCAGCAGUGGGGAAUAUUGGGCAAUAGGCGCAAGCCUGGUCCAGCCAUACCGCGUGGGUGAAGAAGGCCUUCGGGUUGUAAAGCCCUUUUGUUGGGAAAGAAAAGCAGCAGGUUAAUACCCCGCUGUUCUGACGGUACCCAAAGAAUAAGCACCGGCUAACUUCGUG
RNAcentral lists this ribosomal RNA (492 nucleotides) under uncultured bacterium. RNAcentral describes it as "partial 16S ribosomal RNA". It matches the Rfam family "Bacterial small subunit ribosomal RNA", at positions 29 to 507 of the family's 1533-position model. The record is from RNAcentral.